GCUAUGGUCACCGUUGGCGCGGCGGCGGGGGCGGGACUGGAUGGCAAGAGGCGGGGCGGCCUGCCGUGGUGGGCGGUUCUUAGUUGCUCUACUCCAGGACAAGGGUUUUCCUUUUCAAAGCUGUUUUCUAGAUAAGGUUUCCUGGUCCAGGUACCCCAAGGCCUAGAGCUGAGCUACCUGAGCCAGACUUUUCUUUCCGCCCCAUCUUAACUGUAACUUCUUAGACAUUUGUGAAAACUGGUAAUACACUGCAGACAAUAGUACUUUCCAGUACUUCCCCAUCUUCAAAAUAGACAUCAAGGCAUCAAGAGGUGCUGGCAAAGGGGGUCGGCUUACAAGACGGAGCUGUCAUUGGAGCAAAGAAGAAAUCAAGUGACAUUUGAGUACAUCAGAGCUCUGCUCUGUUCCAUUAAGAAGGUUCUGCUACGUGGCCUGAGCUGGUCUCCAACUCAUAACCUCGAGGGAACCCAACCAUCCAGUAUAGGUAUGCACCAUCCUGGUUAGCCGAAAGUAGACUUUAUUUCACUGUAUCUUUAAAGAAAUGAGCAAGCUAGCAAAGAAAUCUGUAUGUUGUUACUCCAAGAGAAACAACAGAGAGAGAGAAAGAGAGAGAGAGAGAGAGAGCAUGAGUGAGUAUAGAUAUAAGAGUAAGCACUCACCCUGCAAGCCAGUUGUUUUUCAAACCUUGGAGAAACAAAAGACCAUGGACCCAUGUUCUGCGGCUCCUCCUGACUCCAGAUGACAUCUGCAAAAAGAAGAAGUUGACUUCAACUUUCAAUCAACCAAAAGACUGAUUGUUGCUAAUGUGUGGGACUGGGGAGAGUCCUGACUCCAGACAAUCAAGAUGAGGAGACCUGGGGAUUGAAAGACUUCUUCUUUGCAUCAUAAUUGUUUAACUCAUAUAAACUCAUAUAUCAAGAAUCUUUAGAGGAACAGCUGGGUGGAUGGUUAAGAGAUAAAUUUCCAACUUCUGUUACAUAUAUGCUUUUCCAACAUGUUAGCAUUUUUAGAAUUUUUAUUAUGUGUGGUAUGCAUGUCUGUAUAAAUGGAUGCCAUGUGUGCAGGUGUCCAAGGAGGCCAGAAGAGGGCACUGCAUCCCUUAGAGCUAUUGCAUCCCUUAGCGCUGCAGUUAGAGGUGCUUGUGAGACACCCAAUGAAGAUACUGGAAAGCACUCAACUCCUGUGCCAUCUCUCUAAACCCCUAUUGUGUUCUCGCUCGCUCGCUCACUCGCUCUCCCCUCCCCUCCCCUUUUUUUCUGGCAAGUACCUAGUUGUGUGUUCACAACAACAAUCACAAUGCAAGAUUUCUUUGAAGCCCCA
Long non-coding RNA from Mus musculus (house mouse), 1320 nucleotides. RefSeq annotates it as predicted gene 13267. Lineage: Eukaryota; Metazoa; Chordata; Mammalia; Rodentia; Muridae. The record is from RefSeq and is marked validated. The transcript has 3 exons.